GAUGAAGAACGCAGCGAAAUGCGAUAAGUAAUGUGAAUUGCAGAAUUCAGUGAAUCAUCGAAUCUUUGAACGCACAUUGCGCCCGCCAGCACUCUGGCGGGCAUGCCUGUUCGAGCGUCAUUUCAACCAUCAAGCCCCCAGGGGCUUGUGCUGGGGCCCUGCGGCUGCCCGCAGGCCCUGAAAACCAGUGGCGGGCUCGCUAGUCACACCGAGCGCAGUAGCACAUCUCGCUCAGGGCGUGCGGCGGGCUCCUGCCGUGAAACACCCCACUGUAACCCCAAAGGUUGACCUCGGAUCAGGUAGGAAUACCCGCUGAACUAAGCAUAUCAAUAAGCGGAGGA
Molecule: unclassified non-coding RNA, 341 nt
Filed under: soil metagenome
Description: partial contains 5.8S ribosomal RNA, internal transcribed spacer 2, and large subunit ribosomal RNA
Rfam family: 5.8S ribosomal RNA (bases 1-120)
Source: RNAcentral